UGCUAUUGCUCUACUGAUCUUCAACUAUCUUAUUUCUCGCAGAAGUUUAUACGAAACGAAGUACUUGAUUAGGUUAUGUGCUCCUUAAUCUUAUUUUUAAUGCAUGUAAUAUAAUCUGCCUUCCAAAGACGAUACAUCUGCAGAUUCCAUUGAGGAGCUUGACCUGCAGGGCGUACUCAUGCUUUUGAUUGAAGUACGCAGUGUAAAAUUUUGACGCGGAUUCGUCCUCCAUCACAAAAUUUCUUUGAUGUGUGAAAUGCAUGUCUCCAUUCUAAAGUUAGAUUUCUGUGGUUCUUGUUUAAAAUUUUCAUUUAUCUCAUGCACGUGCAUUCCACGAGAUCAUCAUGUUUAUUUCUGAAAUCAGUAUCUUGUUCUAUUCUCAAACCGUGGAGACCUUUUCCAUCUUCCCACAUGGGCAUGGUGUUGAGUUAACAGUUCCAACUUUGGCUUUCAUGAGGAAGGAGAUCUUUUUAUUUAUUUAUUUUUACUCUUAUGAUCUUUGAGCGUUCACUAGAAUUACUUUAUUGUGUUUUUCAUUGAUUCACAUGUUUACUUUAACUUAACCCAACUUUUUCCUUCUUUUUUUUCCCCCUUGUUUAAGGUUCGAAAUCUCCAGGCACCCAAUAAAUAUUUGUGUAAACCCUCUAUCCAACCUCCACUCUCUUCUUCUCUCCUCUUUUUCUCUCUCUCUCUCCCUCUUCGCCUCUCUCUCCAACAAGAUGCUCCCAACGAGAUUCAUCGUAUUCUUUGAUGAACUCUACGCCAUCAGGAAUUCUAUCAAACAUCUCCCUGUGCACAUGGAGAAGCCUAAACACCAAAGCCAGCGCUUGCACCUCGAAGGCCAUUACUUUUUCCCUUGCUGAUUAUGGUGUAUUCAGGUCAGUAACAUAUAUAAAUAUAUAUUGACUUUUCAGAUUUCAAUUUAGGCUCAAAAUUUCAAGUUUUCAUAUUUCAAUUGGGCUUACAAGAUUUCAGUGGUGAUGAGGAUGUUGAUGGAGGCUUUGAACAACGACAACGAGGCCACGAUGCAGGAGGCUCUUGAGUUGUUGAUCGAAUUGGCGGGGACCCAGCUCAGGUUCUUCAGGCAGCAGGGAGAGUAGGUUGGGAAGGAGUGGAUCUAUUGGCAUUAGGUCCAGGUCGG
RNAcentral lists this long non-coding RNA (1141 nucleotides) under Prunus dulcis (almond). RNAcentral's name for it is "sRNA ncRNA". The record is from RNAcentral. Lineage: Eukaryota; Viridiplantae; Streptophyta; Magnoliopsida; Rosales; Rosaceae.